This 141-nucleotide ribosomal RNA is filed under the name Listeria monocytogenes. RNAcentral's name for it is "partial 16S ribosomal RNA". It matches the Rfam family "Bacterial small subunit ribosomal RNA", at positions 1 to 136 of the family's 1533-position model. RNAcentral also lists the same sequence under 1 other name. Lineage: Bacteria; Bacillati; Bacillota; Bacilli; Caryophanales; Listeriaceae. The record is from RNAcentral.
UUUAAAGAGAGUUUGAUCCUGGCUCAGGACGAACGCUGGCGGCGUGCCUAAUACAUGCAAGUCGAACGAACGGAGGAAGAGCUUGCUCUUCCAAAGUUAGUGGCGGACGGGUGAGUAACACGUGGGCAACCUGCCUGUAAG